AGCGAACGCUGGCGGUAGGCUUAACACAUGCAAGUCGAACGGCAGCACAGUAAGAGCUUGCUCUUCCGGGUGGCGAGUGGCGGAAGGGAGAGGAAUAUAUCGGAAUCUACUUUUUCGUGGGGGAUCACGUAGGGAAACUUACGCUAAUAUCGCAUACCACCUACGGGUGUAAGCAGGGGAUAUUCGGACCUUGCGCGAUUGAACGAGCCGAUGUCGGAUUAGCUAGUUGGCGGGGUAAAGGCCCACCCAGGCGACGAUCCGUAGCUGGUCUGAGAGGAUGAUCGCCCACACUGGAACGUAGACACCGUCCAGACUCCUACGGGAGGCAGCAGUGGGGAAUAUUGGGCAGUGGGCGGAAGCCUGGUCCAGCCAUACCACGUGGGUGAAGAAAGCCUUCGGGUUGUAAAGCCCUUUUGUGGGGAAAGAAAAGCAGCAGGUUAAUACCCCGCUGUUCUGACGGUACCCAAAGAAUAAGCACCGGCUAACUUCGUG
This 492-nucleotide ribosomal RNA is filed under the name uncultured bacterium. Its description in RNAcentral is "partial 16S ribosomal RNA". It matches the Rfam family "Bacterial small subunit ribosomal RNA", at positions 29 to 507 of the family's 1533-position model. The record is from RNAcentral.